GCGAGUGAAGCGGGAUGAGCUCAAAUUUGUAAUCUGGUGGACUCAGUUCAUCCGAGUUGUAAUCUAUAGAAGUGUUUUCCGCGCUGGACCGUGUCUAAGUCCCUUGGAACAGGGUGUCAGAGAGGGUGAGAAUCCCGUGCUUGAUACGAUCACCAGUGCUAUGUGAUACACUUUCAACGAGUCGAGUUGUUUGGGAAUGCAGCUCAAAAUGGGUGGUAAAUUCCAUCUAAAGCUAAAUAUUGGCGAGAGACCGAUAGCGAACAAGUACCGUGAGGGAAAGAUGAAAAGCACUUUGGAAAGAGAGUUAAACAGUACGUGAAAUUGUUAAAAGGGAAACGAUUGAAGUCAGUCGUGCUCUCUGGGACUCAGCCGGUUCUUCCGGUGUACUUCCCAGUGAGCGGGUCAACAUCAGUUUAGAUCGCUGGAUAAAGGUAUUAGGAAGGUGGCUCCCUCGGGAGUGUUAUAGCCUAGUAUCGCAUACAGUGGUUUAGACUGAGGAACGCAGCUCGCCUUUAUGGCCGGGGUUCGCCCACGUCCGAGCUUAGGAUGUUGACAUAAUGGCUUUAAACGACCCGUCUUG
Molecule: ribosomal RNA, 580 nt
Filed under: Holtermanniella wattica
Lineage: Eukaryota; Fungi; Basidiomycota; Tremellomycetes; Holtermanniales
Description: eukaryotic LSU rRNA
Rfam family: Eukaryotic large subunit ribosomal RNA
Source: RNAcentral